RNAcentral lists this ribosomal RNA (227 nucleotides) under uncultured Synechococcus sp. RNAcentral describes it as "partial 23S ribosomal RNA". It matches the Rfam family "Bacterial large subunit ribosomal RNA", at positions 1 to 241 of the family's 2925-position model. The record is from RNAcentral. Lineage: Bacteria; Bacillati; Cyanobacteriota; Cyanophyceae; Synechococcales; Synechococcaceae.
GGUCAAGCUACAAAGGGCUCACGGCGGAUACCUUGGCACACAGAGGCGAUGAAGGACGUGGUUACCUGCGAUAAGUCUCGGGGAGCUGGAAACACGCUUUGAUCCGGGAAUUUCCGAAUGGGGCAACCCCUUGUACGGUCAGCUGAAUCCAUAGGCUGGCGCGAGCCAACCCAGCGAACUGAAACAUCUUAGUAGCUGGAGGAAAGGAAAGUAAAAACGACUCCCUC